AUUGAACGCUGGAGGCAGGCCUAACACAUGCAAGUCGAGCGCGAAAGUUCUUCGGAAUGAGUAAAGCGGCAGACGGGUGAGUAAUACAUGGGAAUCUGCCUGGUAGUGGGGGACAACGUUUCGAAAGGAACGCUAAUACCGCAUACGCCCUACGGGGGAAAGGGGGGGAUCGCAAGACCUCUCGCUAUCAGAUGAGCCCA
RNAcentral lists this ribosomal RNA (200 nucleotides) under uncultured bacterium. RNAcentral's name for it is "partial 16S ribosomal RNA". It matches the Rfam family "Bacterial small subunit ribosomal RNA", at positions 30 to 233 of the family's 1533-position model. The record is from RNAcentral.